GUAUUGAUACUGUGACCUGUAACAUUCUGUAGGUUUUUGUGCCUGUUUUAAUCUAUAUUAGUGUAUUGAGUUUGUUCUUACUAGUUUGCAAAUACCUUAUCCCUGAUUCAUCUCAGUCAACUGUAGUUAAAUAAACAAAUUAUAUUGUAAAAUAAUUCAACAGCAUGCACUUCUGUUUCAUAUAUAGUUUUCUUCAGUGGCCCCUGUAUAAUCCAUUUACUUGGAAAUGAAGAAUUGUGAUGUAUAAAUCAGAAAAAUUAAUGCAGAAGAAAAAUCUCCUACUGGAAUAUGUUUACUUCAGAAACUCCAGGUGUGUAAGAAUAGAAACUCCCCUUCUUCACAAGUAGCGGAAUGAAAGAAGUUCACAAAAUUUCUAAAGUCAGUUAUUUUAUGUGGAUGGUCUUCCCGGUUUUUGCACAGAAGGAAGAUGAGACGAAUACGCUGAUG
RNAcentral lists this long non-coding RNA (447 nucleotides) under Phasianus colchicus (ring-necked pheasant). RNAcentral describes it as "lncRNA (ENSPCLG00000022357.1)". Lineage: Eukaryota; Metazoa; Chordata; Aves; Galliformes; Phasianidae. The record is from RNAcentral.